This 239-nucleotide ribosomal RNA is filed under the name uncultured bacterium. RNAcentral's name for it is "partial 16S ribosomal RNA". It matches the Rfam family "Bacterial small subunit ribosomal RNA", at positions 95 to 334 of the family's 1533-position model. The record is from RNAcentral.
CCGGCGCACGGGUGAGUAACACGUAUCCAACCUGCCGUCUACUCUUGGACAGCCUUCUGAAAGGAAGAUUAAUACAAGGUGGCAUCAUGAGUUCACAUGUUCACAUGAUUAAAGGUAUUCCGGUAGACGAUGGGGAUGCGUUCCAUUAGAUAGUAGGCGGGGUAACGGCCCACCUAGUCUUCGAUGGAUAGGGGUUCUGAGAGGAAGGUCCCCCACAUUGGAACUGAGACACGGUCCAA